Molecule: ribosomal RNA, 163 nt
Filed under: uncultured bacterium
Lineage: Bacteria
Description: partial 16S ribosomal RNA
Rfam family: Bacterial small subunit ribosomal RNA
Source: RNAcentral
GUAAUCGUGGAUCAGCAUGCCACGGUGAAUACGUUCCCGGGCCUUGUACACACCGCCCGUCACACCAUGGGAGUCGGUAACACCCGAAGCCUGUAGUCUAACCGCAAGGAGGACGCAGUCGAAGGUGGGAUUGAUGGCUGGGGUGAAGUCGUAACAAGGUAAC